GACGAACGCUGGCGGCGCGCCUAACACAUGCAAGUCGAACGGAAAUGAUUGAAGUUUACUUUGGUCAUUUUAGUGGCGGACGGGUGAGUAACACGUGAGCAACCUGCCUUUCAGAGGGGGGAUAACGUUUGGAAACGAACGCUAAUACCGCAUAACGUAUACGGAUGGCAUCGUCUGUAUACCAAAGGAGGAAUCCGCUGAAAGAUGGGCUCGCGUCCGAUUAGCUAGAUGGUGAGGUAACGGCCCACCACUGGCGACGAUCGGUAGCCGGACUGAGAGGUUGACCGGCCACAUUGGGACUGAGACACGGCCCAGACUCCUACGGGAGGCAGCAGUGAGGGAUAUUGGGCAAUGGGGGCAACCCUGACCCAGCGACGCCGCGUGAGGGGAAGACGGUCUUCGGAUUGUAAACCUCNGUCUUUGGGGACGAAAAAGGACGGUACCCAAGGAGGAAGCUCCGGCUAACUACGUG
RNAcentral lists this ribosomal RNA (472 nucleotides) under uncultured bacterium. Its description in RNAcentral is "bacterial SSU rRNA". It matches the Rfam family "Bacterial small subunit ribosomal RNA", at positions 28 to 507 of the family's 1533-position model. The record is from RNAcentral.